GAUGAACGCUGGCGGCGUGCCUAAUACAUGCAAGUCGAGCGAACAGACGAGGAGCUUGCUCCUCUGACGUUAGCGGCGGACGGGUGAGUAACACGUGGAUAACCUACCUAUAAGACUGGGAUAACUUCGGGAAACCGGAGCUAAUACCGGAUAAUAUAUUGAACCGCAUGGUUCAAUAGUGAAAGACGGUUUUGCUGUCACUUAUAGAUGGAUCCGCGCCGCAUUAGCUAGUUGGUAAGGUAACGGCUUACCAAGGCAACGAUGCGAGCCGACCUGAGAGGGUGAUUGGCCACACUGGAACUGAGACACGGUCCAGACUCCUACGGGAGGCAGCAGUAGGGAAUCUUCCGCAAUGGGCGAAAGCCUGACGGAGCAACGCCGCGUGAGUGAUGAAGGUCUUCGGAUCGUAAAACUCUGUUAUUAGGGAAGAACAAAUGUGUAAGUAACUAUGCACGUCUUGACGGUACCUAAUCAGAAAGCCACGGCUAACUACGUG
This 496-nucleotide ribosomal RNA is filed under the name uncultured bacterium. Its description in RNAcentral is "partial 16S ribosomal RNA". It matches the Rfam family "Bacterial small subunit ribosomal RNA", at positions 28 to 507 of the family's 1533-position model. The record is from RNAcentral.